Molecule: ribosomal RNA, 422 nt
Filed under: uncultured bacterium
Lineage: Bacteria
Description: bacterial SSU rRNA
Rfam family: Bacterial small subunit ribosomal RNA
Source: RNAcentral
UAAGGAAUAUUGGUCAAUGGACGCAAGUCUGAACCAGCCAUGCCGCGUGGAGGAUGAAGGUCCUCUGGAUUGUAAACUUCUUUUAUCUGGGACGAAACACUUCUUUUCUAAGAGGCCUGACGGUACCAGAUGAAUAAGCACCGGCUAACUCCGUGCCAGCAGCCGCGGUAAUACGGAGGGUGCAAGCGUUAUCCGGAUUCACUGGGUUUAAAGGGUGCGUAGGUGGGUAUGUAAGUCAGUGGUGAAAUCCCCGAGCUUAACUUGGGAACUGCCAUUGAUACUAUAUGUCUUGAAUUAUCUGGAGGUAAGCGGAAUAUGUCAUGUAGCGGUGAAAUGCUUAGAUAUGAUAUAGAACACCAAUUGCGAAGGCAGCUCGCUGGACAACACGUGACGCUGAGGCGCGAAAGUGUGGGGAGCAAACC